CUUUGAAAAUAUUUUCUUUGAAAAAUUAAAAUUAACUAAUGAAACCAGUAAAAUAUUCUUGUACAGUAAAAUAAAAACAAAAUAUGAAAUAGACAAAUACAUUUCUAAAAAUAGUUUUGAAAAUAGAAAAUUAUUAUGUAAAAUGCGAGUAAGUGACCAUUUCUUGGAAAUAGAGAGGGGUAGAUAUAAAAGAAUUCAAAGAGAAAAUAGAAUAUGUAAACAUUGUAAUAUUUAAAUGCGGUUGAAGAUGAAACCCACUUUUUCUUAAAAUGUAAAAUUAAUAAAUCUUUACGUAAUCAGCUUGAAAAAGAUAUAAAUAAUAUAUGUCCAGAAUACUUUAAUUUGUCUGAAACAGAUAGAUUACAAUUAAUUCUAUCUUCAUUUGAUAUUAUGCAGCUUACUGUUCCGUUCAUUAAAAAGUCAUUUGCACUGAGGGGAGUGGACACAACGCCUGCAUAAAUAUUACUGUUUUACCACUUUAUAUAUGAUGUUUAAUAUGUUAAUUUUUAUAUUGUGUAUAUUGUAUUGUAUUGUUUGUAUAUGCCUUCAACCCCCAGGGGUAUAAAUGUGCAUUUCAUUAAUAAAUAAAUUAAAUAAUUCUUAUAUAAAAUCUCGCAAAAUUAUGACCCAUAUUUUUGGCACAUCCCCGUAUACCCAAUAAGAGGAAGUUGCCCCUCCGUGCAUAAAACUUGAAGGUCGACCACCUCUAUAUCAUAGUACUACUAUAUAUACCGACUGAAAAAUAUGCACAGUGUCACUGACUUUCAGUACUUAAAGUUAAAUGUAAAUCCUGUUAGUAGUCAGUAUUUCCAUAAGACAGCAACCAGACAACAACACAAGGCC
RNAcentral lists this long non-coding RNA (843 nucleotides) under Mytilus galloprovincialis (Mediterranean mussel). Lineage: Eukaryota; Metazoa; Mollusca; Bivalvia; Mytilida; Mytilidae. The record is from RNAcentral.